Molecule: ribosomal RNA, 401 nt
Filed under: Actinomycetes bacterium
Lineage: Bacteria; Bacillati; Actinomycetota; Actinomycetes
Description: Actinobacteria bacterium partial 16S ribosomal RNA
Rfam family: Bacterial small subunit ribosomal RNA
Source: RNAcentral
GGAAUAUUGGACAAUGGGCGCAAGCCUGAUCCAGCCAUGCCGCGUGAGUGAUGAAGGCCCUAGGGUUGUAAAGCUCUUUCACCGGUGAAGAUAAUGACGGUAACCGGAGAAGAAGCCCCGGCUAACUUCGUGCCAGCAGCCGCGGUGAUACGAAGGGGGCUAGCGUUGUUCGGAUUUACUGGGCGUAAAGCGCACGUAGGCGGACUUUUAAGUCAGGGGUGAAAUCCCGGGGCUCAACCCCGGAACUGCCUUUGAUACUGGAAGUCUUGAGUAUGGUAGAGGUGAGUGGAAUUCCGAGUGUAGAGGUGAAAUUCGUAGAUAUUCGGAGGAACACCAGUGGCGAAGGCGGCUCACUGGACCAUUACUGACGCUGAGGUGCGAAAGCGUGGGGAGCAAACAGG